This 492-nucleotide ribosomal RNA is filed under the name uncultured bacterium. RNAcentral's name for it is "partial 16S ribosomal RNA". It matches the Rfam family "Bacterial small subunit ribosomal RNA", at positions 29 to 507 of the family's 1533-position model. The record is from RNAcentral.
AGUGAACGCUGGCGGUAGGCCUAACACAUGCAAGUCGAACGGCAGCACAGUAAGAGCUUGCUCUUACGGGUGGCGAGUGGCGGACGGGUGAGGAAUACAUCGGAAUCUACUUUUUCGUGGGGGAUAACGUAGGGAAACUUACGCUAAUACCGCAUACGACCUACGGGUGAAAGCAGGGGAUCUUCGGACCUUGCGCGAUUGAAUGAGCCGAUGUCGGAUUAGCUAGUUGGCGGGGUAAAGGCCCACCAAGGCGACGAUCCGUAGCUGGCCUGAGAGGAUGAUCAGCCACACUGGAACUGAGACACGGUCCAGACUCCUACGGGAGGCAGCAGUGGGGAAUAUUGGACAAUGGGGGCAAGCCUGAUCCAGCCAUACCGCGUGGGUGAAGAAGGCCUUCGGGUUGUAAAGCCCUUUUGUUGGGAAAGAAAAGCAGCAGGUUAAUACCCCGCUGUUCUGACGGUACCCAAAGAAUAAGCACCGGCUAACUUCGUG